Small nuclear RNA from Hemibagrus wyckioides, 165 nucleotides. RefSeq annotates it as U1 spliceosomal RNA. The transcript has a single exon. Lineage: Eukaryota; Metazoa; Chordata; Actinopteri; Siluriformes; Bagridae. The record is from RefSeq and is a predicted model, not a curated record.
CUACUUGCAUUGCAGGGGCAAUACCAUGCUCAAGGAGGUGCUUUGCCCAAACUGAGACUCCAGCCAUUGGCCUUGGGCUGUGCUGACAUUUGUGAAAUCCCCAAAUGCAGGAAUCUUGACUGCAUAAUUUCUGAUAGUGGGGGACUGCGUUUGCUCUUUUCCCUU